UACGUAGGGGACAAGCGUUGUCCGGAUUCAUUGGGCGUAAAGAGCGUGUAGGCGGUCAGGUAGGUCGGUUGUGAAAACUGGAGGCUCAACCUUCAGAGGUCGACCGAAACCAUCUGGCUAGAGUCCGGGAGAGGAGAGUGGAAUUCCUGGUGUAGCGGUGAAAUGCGCAGAUAUCAGGAAGAACACCCGUGGCGAAAGCGGCUCUCUGGAACGGUACUGACGCUGAGACGCGAAAGCGUGGGGAGCGAACAGG
Molecule: ribosomal RNA, 253 nt
Filed under: uncultured bacterium
Lineage: Bacteria
Description: partial 16S ribosomal RNA
Rfam family: Bacterial small subunit ribosomal RNA
Source: RNAcentral